This 97-nucleotide ribosomal RNA is filed under the name uncultured bacterium. RNAcentral describes it as "partial 23S ribosomal RNA". It matches the Rfam family "Bacterial large subunit ribosomal RNA", at positions 24 to 119 of the family's 2925-position model. The record is from RNAcentral.
GUGGAUGCCUUGGCGAUUACAGGCGACGAAAGACGUGAUAGCCUGCGAUAAGCUUCGGGGAGCUGGCAAAUUAGCUUUGAUCCNGAGAUUUCCGAAU